RNAcentral lists this ribosomal RNA (253 nucleotides) under uncultured bacterium. RNAcentral describes it as "partial 16S ribosomal RNA". It matches the Rfam family "Bacterial small subunit ribosomal RNA", at positions 524 to 776 of the family's 1533-position model. The record is from RNAcentral.
UACGGAGGGGGCUAGCGUUGUUCGGAAUUACUGGGCGUAAAGCGCGCGUAGGCGGACCUGCAAGUCGGGGGUGAAAGCCCGAGGCUCAACCUCGGAACUGCCUUCGAUACUGCGGGUCUCGAGUCCGGGAGAGGUGAGUGGAAUUCCUAGUGUAGAGGUGAAAUUCGUAGAUAUUAGGAAGAACACCAGUGGCGAAGGCGGCUCACUGGCCCGGUUCUGACGCUGAGGCGCGAAAGCGUGGGGAGCAAACAGG